Daucus carota subsp. sativus is the source of this 3154-nucleotide RNA transcript. It is a transcript of the gene named putative pentatricopeptide repeat-containing protein At1g12700, mitochondrial, with no coding region annotated. The record is from RefSeq and is a predicted model, not a curated record. The transcript has 4 exons. Lineage: Eukaryota; Viridiplantae; Streptophyta; Magnoliopsida; Apiales; Apiaceae.
AUUAAUUUGUAAUUUGUAACUUGAGUAGAUCCCAUUCUUCCGUCAUAUUUUGUGUUCUGGGCAACUCAACCCAGUGAAGUGAGAGCACCGGCAAGAAGUGAGAGCAACGAUGAGGAGUCUGGCUUCCUUAAGACCAAUGCUACCAUUUCUACGAUCUGCAGCUGAGUCUGCAACUACUAGUUCUCUCGCAUUGUUUCAAUUCAAUGCUCAUUUUCGUAUGUUCUCCACUAAACCUAACCCCAAACACCCCUAUGUUCCUCAUUUUCCCAAUACAUCUCAUGCGAGACUUCAGCAAUUACUUUAUGAGAAAUCAAAGGUUGGUUUCGAUAAACUCGAUGAUGCUCUUCAGGUGUUUGAUAAAAUGCUCCCUGUUCCUAAAUUCAAUCAACUCUUAGCUGCUGUUGUUAAGAUGAAAGACUACUCUGUAGCUGUGUCCGUUUUUAGAAAGAUGUGUGUAGAAAGCGUCCCUGUUAAUGUAAUUACCUUUAAUACUAUUAUCAACUGUUUUUGUCACUUGGAUCGUGUCGAUUUUGCCUUUUCAUUACUGGCUGGAAUCAUCAAGCACGGUUUUGUCCCUGACGUGUUUACUUAUAACACUCUAAUCAGGGGCCUUAUUUCCCAAGAUAUGCCUCAUGAGGCUCAGCUUUUGUUCCAGAACCUCAUUAGAUUUAAACUUAUUCAACCCAAUGUUGUUACCUAUACAACUAUCAUUGACGGCAUCUGCAAGAGAGGGAAUCCUUCUGUGGCUGUUAAGUUGUUUAAAAUUAUGGAGAAGAAAGGUUGCAGGCCUAAUACGGUCACUUACACCACAAUUAUUGACUGUUUAUGUAAACAUGGAUUAGUUGAUCAAGCAUUGGGUCUUCUCCACCGAAUGACAAGGAAAGGCAUAUCCCCAAAUGUUAUAACCUACAGCUCUUUAAUUCAAGGGUUGUGUGACUUUAAUCGAUGGCAUGAUGUCAAACAAUUGCUCAAGGAGAUGGAUCUUAGGAACAUUUCUCAAAAUGUUUUUACUUACAGUAUAUUGAUUGAUGCGUAUUGCAAAGAAGGAAUGAUUGAAGAUGCAGAGGAUGUGAUAGAGUUGAUGACUCAAAGAGGCCAUUAUCCUAAUGUAGUCACUUACAAUUCACUAAUGGAUGGAUACUGCUUGCAGGGAGAGGUUAAUAAAGCUUUAGUAGUGUUCGAAAGCAUGACUAGAAAGGGAAUAUUGCGUGAUGCUUUUAGCUAUAAUAUCCUCAUCAACGGGUACUGUAGAAAGAAGAAAGUGGACAGAGCCAUAGAUCUUUUUCAACAAAUGCCCUCUGAAUGUUUAACCCCAACUAUUCAGACUUACAGUACUAUACUGCAAGGUUUUUUUCAUGUGGGCAGGCAUGUUGAAGCACGUAAUUUUUUUAAGGAAAAGAUGAUCAACCAAGGUGUUGAGUUGGAUAAAGUGACAUGUCGUAUCUUGUUGCAUGGUCUGUGCCAGAAUUGUUAUGUAUUUGAAGCACUAUCGUUUUUUCAAAUACUAGAGUAUAGUGGGUUAGUUGCUGAUAUACAGGUUUACACUAUUCUGAUUGAUGGACUAAGCAAAAAUGGACAUCUCGAGAAUGCAAGAAGCCUUUUUGACAACCUUCCUGCGAAAGGUUUGCGACCUAAUGUCAAGACAUACACAGUGAUGAUCCAAGCAUAUUGUCUUGAAGGGUUAUUGGAUGAAGCAAAUGAACUAUUCAGGGAAAUGAAAGCUCAUGAUUGCUUGCCUAAUGAUGUCACAUACAACACACUUAUACGCUGUUGUUUACAGAAUAAUAAGUACUACGAAGCAGAUGUACUACUAGAUGAAAUGCUUGGUCGCCGCUUUGCAGCAGAUGCAUCUACAACAUCUGUGUUACUAGACUUACUUGAAGUGCAAGAACCGGAUCCUACUCUCCUUGCCUUGCGUGAGAAGUACUUUCCGUAAGUGUGACAGAGAAAGAGAGUGCCCAGGCAGGCAUGUGGAAGCAAAGAUUGACAUUUUGUCAAUAUUUACACAUUUUGUCAAGGGGGGUUACUGGAUGAAGCUAAUAAACUUUUUGUGAAAAUGGAAGCUAGUAUUUGCUUGCCUAAUGCUACCUACAAAACACUUGUCCACGGCUGUUUUCACAAUAAGAAGUAUAGUGAAGCAAUUGUACUUGUAGAAGCAAUGUGUGCUCAAGGCUCCGGAGAUGCAUUUCAAUGUCCUUGGACCUGAGAUUACUUGAAUUGAAAUACAGGUUUACACUAUUCUGAUUGAUGGACUAAGCAAAAAUGGACAUCUGGAGAACACAAGAAGCCUUUUUAACCUUUCUAUGAAAUGUGUACGAUCUGAUGUCAAGACAUAAACAGUGAUGAUCGAAGCAUAUUUUCAUGAAGGGUUUUUGGAUGAAGCGAAUGAACUAUUCAGGGAAACGGAAGCUAAUGAUUGCUUGCCUAAUGAUGUCACAUACAACAUGCUUAUCCGCGGUUGUUUACAGAAUAAGAAUUACUGUGAAGCAGGUGUACUCCUAGAUGAAAUGCUUGGUCGUCGGUUUGCAGCAGAUGCAUCUACGGCAUCUGCGUUACUAGACUAAAUUGAAGUGCAUGAACCGGAUGCUCCUCUCCUUGCCUUGCGUGAGAAGUACUUUCCAUAGGUGUGACAAAGAAAGAGAGGGCCCACUUUUUGAUUUCGCCAGCAUUUUUCAAGAUUUGACACCAACUAUUCAGAUUUAACGCACUAUAUUGCAAGGUUAUUUUCGUACAUGCAGACAGGUGCAAGCACGGAAAUUUCCUACUUAAAUCACAAGAACAGGAACCUGCUUUUCUUGCUCUGCAUAAUAAGUAUUUGCCAUAGGUCUAACAGAGUGAGAGAUUGCGAAGACUUCUCAGUGCAUUGCAGAACCAUUCACCUGGCCAGUGCUCUCAGAUAAAGAACUUGAACGGCUGAUCAGACCAGUCAGCCCAGGUCUUUAAUGUCAGCUGGGUGGAACUUUUUGUUGGUUUUUAGAGUGGCAACACAGUGGAUACAAUUGUAUACAUCCCUACAGCGGUAUUCAGCUCGUAACUUUGUGGAUAUUGUAUGCUUUCAAAAGAUUUUGCAAUUCUGAAUCUGACACACCGGAUCUGCGAUCCCAGUGAGUUCUUAAUUAUAUUGUAUGCUUUCAAAAGAUUUUGCAAUUCUGAA